CCGGCGAGGGGAGUGAAAAAGAACCUGAAACCGUGUACGUACAAGCAGUGGGAGCACCCUUUGGGGUGUGACUGCGUACCUUUUGUAUAAUGGGUCAGCGACUUAUAUUCUGUAGCAAGGUUAACCGAAUAGGGGAGCCGGAGGGAAACCGAGUCUUAACCGGGCGUUAAGUUGCAGGGUAUAGACCCGAAACCCGGUGAUCUAGCCAUGGGCAGGUUGAAGGUUGGGUAACACUAACUGGAGGACCGAACCGACUAAUGUUGAAAAAUUAGCGGAUGACCUGUGGCU
RNAcentral lists this ribosomal RNA (288 nucleotides) under Salmonella enterica subsp. enterica serovar Reading. RNAcentral's name for it is "partial 23S ribosomal RNA". It matches the Rfam family "Bacterial large subunit ribosomal RNA", at positions 526 to 816 of the family's 2925-position model. The record is from RNAcentral. Lineage: Bacteria; Pseudomonadati; Pseudomonadota; Gammaproteobacteria; Enterobacterales; Enterobacteriaceae.